ACCACAAUAAAUGUUCCCUAUAAUACAAAAUCUUAUGCCUUUAAGAUGUACCUUCUUUGUGUACCCUCCCAGAGAUAAUCUAUACAUAUGUAAGUAGACCUAUGUGUGUAUAUAUAUUUUGUUUUAAACACAGAUGACAGCAUACGAUACAUACUGUUUUGCACCUUAACAUUUUCACUUGAUGUAUCUCAAAGGCUAUUCCAUAUCAGUACAUAAGGAGCUCUCCAUCAUUCUUGUUUUUCAACAGUGCAUAGUGUUUAGUGUACAGUUAUAUAUCCAGUCCUCUAUUGUUAAACAUUUAGUUUGUUUCCAGUCUUAUUACAAUACUGCAACAAAUACCUUGUAUAUAAGGCAUUUUAUAAGAAAUAAAAUUUUGGAGUCAAUAUAUAUAUUUGUAACGUUACCACAUUUUUUUAUAGUGAUUAUAUCAUUUUAUAUUACCAGAAAUGUGUGAUCAUGACUGUUUUCCCUCACCCUUGUGUCCUAUUACUGGAAACUGGUUUAAGUGAUCUUGUAUAAGGAGAAAGGAGAGAGAUUCUUCUCAUUGUUGAGUAAAGUUUCUCUUUCUUUUCUCUUCAGCCUAUGAAGUGCCAUUUAAUUUGCUGUAUAGAUUGUAUGUUGAAUGUAUCACUUUUGAUAACCAUAGGUAACCAUGGGUAAUUACUUAUUUGAGAACUUUCUUAAUUUCUACAUGUCUUCUAACCAAAUAAGUAUCUUCUGAUGGUGCCAUAUCAUUUGUAAUACAAAUGCCAAGUAAGGAACUUCGGGAACUAUAGGAAAGAAGGGAUAAGAGAAGUGAGCACCUGGAAGACAUAGGUCUCUGCUGUUUUAGAACAGCCUUCUAAAUAAAUCAAAGCUAAAUCACCUGGUUCUAGGAAAAGUUUCUACAUUAUAAUUUACACUCCCUUCCAAACAAACCCUAGCUGAUUAUCACAAUCUAUUCAGUAGUAUUUAAGAUUUUUGUGGCUUUCGGCUCUCGGCUUGGAGGAGGCCAAGGUGCAACUUUCUUCGGUCGUCCCGAAUCCGGGUUCAUCCGACACCAGCCACCUCCACCAUGCCACCGAAGUUCGACCCCAACGAGAUCAAAGUCAUAUACCUGAGGUGCACUGGGGGUGAAGUCGGUGCCACUUCUGUGCUUGCCUCCAAGAUCGGCCCCCUGGGUCUGUCUCCAAAAAAGGUUGGUGAUGACUUUGCCAAGGCAACGGGUGACUGGAAGGGCUUGAGGAUUACAGUGAAACUGACCAUUCAGAACAGACAGGCCCAGAUUGAGGUUGUGCCUUCUGCCUCUGCCCUGAUCAUCAAAGCCCUUAAGGAGCCACCAAGAGACAUAAAGAAACAGAAAAACAUUAAACACAGCAGGAAUAUCACUUUCGAUGAGAUUGUCAACAUUGCUUGAUAGAUGCAGCACCGAUCUUUAGCCAGAGAACUCUCUGGAAUCAUUAAAGAGAUCCUGGGGACUGCCCAGUCUGUGGGCUGUAAUGUUGAUGGCCGCCACCCUCAUGACAUCAUAGAUGACAUCAACAGUGGUGCUGUGAAAUGCCCAGCUAGUUAAGAAGCAUAAAGGAAAAUAUUUCAAUAAAGGUCAUUUAACAACUGGUGGAAAAAAAAA
Molecule: non-coding RNA, 1609 nt
Organism: Callithrix jacchus (white-tufted-ear marmoset)
Lineage: Eukaryota; Metazoa; Chordata; Mammalia; Primates; Cebidae
Source: RefSeq, a predicted model, not a curated record